UCCUACGGGUGGCUGCAGUAGGGAAUAUUGGACAAUGGGUGAGAGCCUGAUCCAGCCAUGCCGCGUGCAGGAAGAAGGCGUUAUGCGUUGUAAACUGCUUUUGCCAGGGGAUAAAACGGUUCUGCGGAACUAAUUGAAGGUACCUGGUGAAUAAGCCACGGCUAACUACGUGCCAGCAGCCGCGGUAAUACGUAGGUGGCAAGCGUUGUCCGGAUUUAUUGGGUUUAAAGGGUGCGUAGGCGGCCCUGUAAGUCAGUGCUGAAAUAUCCCGGCUUAACCGGGAGGGUGGCAUUGAUACUGCAGGGCUUGAGUACAGAUGAGGUAGGCGGAAUUGACGGUGUAGCGGUGAAAUGCAUAGAUAUCGUCAAGAACACCGAUAGCGAAGGCAGCUUACCAAGCUGUAACUGACGCUGAGGCACGAAAGUGUGGGGAUCAAACAGGAUUAGAUACCCCAGUAGUCG
This 461-nucleotide ribosomal RNA is filed under the name uncultured Cytophagaceae bacterium. Its description in RNAcentral is "bacterial SSU rRNA". It matches the Rfam family "Bacterial small subunit ribosomal RNA", at positions 337 to 796 of the family's 1533-position model. The record is from RNAcentral. Lineage: Bacteria; Pseudomonadati; Bacteroidota; Cytophagia; Cytophagales; Cytophagaceae.